UCGUCGAAAUCGCCGAAUUCCGCCCUGGGGGCGGAAGCGGGGGACCCAACAGCCGGUCACCCGGUACGGGGCGCAUCGCCGCAAGGCGUAGGGCAAUCUCUUCGGCCCGAGCCCGUCAGCUAACCUCGCAGGCGUCGAAGGGAGAGCAC
RNAcentral lists this small RNA (149 nucleotides) under Nitratidesulfovibrio vulgaris. RNAcentral's name for it is "Desulfovibrio vulgaris c-di-AMP sequence". It matches the Rfam family "c-di-AMP riboswitch aptamer (ydaO/yuaA leader)". From Rfam's summary of the family: This family represents a conserved RNA structure found upstream of the ydaO and yuaA genes in Bacillus subtilis and related genes in other bacteria. Lineage: Bacteria; Pseudomonadati; Thermodesulfobacteriota; Desulfovibrionia; Desulfovibrionales; Desulfovibrionaceae. The record is from RNAcentral.